GAUGAAGAACGCAGCGAAAUGCGAUAAGUAAUGUGAAUUGCAGAAUUCAGUGAAUCAUCGAAUCUUUGAACGCACAUUGCGCCCGCCAGUAUUCUGGCGGGCAUGCCUGUUCGAGCGUCAUUUCAACCAUCAAGCCCCAGGCUUGUGUUGGGGACCUGCGGCUGCCGCAGGCCCUGAAAACCAGUGGCGGGCUCGCUGUCACACCGGGCGUAGUAGAUUUUAUCUCGCUCAGGGCGUGCUGCGGGUUCCGGCCGUUAAAAAGUCUUUUUUACCCAAGGUUGACCUCGGAUCAGGUAGGAAGACCCGCUGAACUUAAGCAUAUCAAUAAGCGGAGGA
Molecule: unclassified non-coding RNA, 336 nt
Filed under: soil metagenome
Description: partial contains 5.8S ribosomal RNA, internal transcribed spacer 2, and large subunit ribosomal RNA
Rfam family: 5.8S ribosomal RNA (bases 1-120)
Source: RNAcentral